Molecule: ribosomal RNA, 473 nt
Filed under: uncultured bacterium
Lineage: Bacteria
Description: bacterial SSU rRNA
Rfam family: Bacterial small subunit ribosomal RNA
Source: RNAcentral
ACUCCUACGGGAGGCAGCAGUGGGGAAUAUUGCACAAUGGGCGCAAGCCUGAUGCAGCCAUGCCGCGUGUAUGAAGAAGGCCUUCGGGUUGUAAAGUACUUUCAGCAGUGAGGAAGGUGGUAGUGUUAAUAGCACUAUCAUUUGACGUUAGCUGCAGAAGAAGCACCGGCUAACUCCGUGCCAGCAGCCGCGGUAAUACGGAGGGUGCGAGCGUUAAUCGGAAUUACUGGGCGUAAAGCGCAUGCAGGUGGUUUGUUAAGUCAGAUGUGAAAGCCCGGGGCUCAACCUCGGAAUUGCAUUUGAAACUGGCAGACUAGAGUACUGUAGAGGGGGGUAGAAUUUCAGGUGUAGCGGUGAAAUGCGUAGAGAUCUGAAGGAAUACCGGUGGCGAAGGCGGCCCCCUGGACAGAUACUGACACUCAGAUGCGAAAGCGUGGGGAGCAAACAGGAUUAGAUACCCUGGUAGGAUAGCG